GGAGUUAGCCGGUGCUUCUUCUGUGAGUGAUGUCCUUCCUGACGGUUAUUGACCCGCAGGCCUUCUUCCUCACUGAAAGUGCUUUACAACCCGAAGGCCUUCUUCACACACGCGGCAUGGCUGGAUCAGGGUUGCCCCCAUUGUCCAAUAUUCCCCACUGCUGCCUCCCGUAGGAGUCUGGGCCGUGUCUCAGUCCCAGUGUGGCUGAUCAUCCUCUCAGACCAGCUACGGAUCGUCGCCUUGGUGAGCCGUUACCUCACCAACCAGCUAAUCCGACAUAGGCUCAUCCGAUAGCGCGAGGCCCGAAGGUCCCCCGCUUUCCCCCGUAGGGCGUAUGCGGUAUUAGCCUGGGUUUCCCCAGGUUAUCCCCCACUACCGGGCAGAUUCCUAUGCAUUACUCACCCGUCCGCCGCUCGCCACCAGGGAGCAAGCUCCCCGUGCUGCCGCUCGACUUGCAUGUGUUAGGCCUGCCGCCAGCGUUCAAUCUGAGCCAUGAUCAAACUCUGA
RNAcentral lists this ribosomal RNA (507 nucleotides) under uncultured bacterium. RNAcentral describes it as "partial 16S ribosomal RNA". The record is from RNAcentral.